RNAcentral lists this transfer RNA (67 nucleotides) under Marmota monax (woodchuck). RNAcentral describes it as "tRNA.Val". Lineage: Eukaryota; Metazoa; Chordata; Mammalia; Rodentia; Sciuridae. The record is from RNAcentral.
GGAUGUAACUCAGUGGUAGAGCACUUGUCUAACAUGUACGAGGCCCCAGGUUCUAUUCCAAGCACCA